This 429-nucleotide ribosomal RNA is filed under the name Chloroflexota bacterium. Its description in RNAcentral is "Chloroflexi bacterium partial 16S ribosomal RNA". It matches the Rfam family "Bacterial small subunit ribosomal RNA", at positions 355 to 776 of the family's 1533-position model. Lineage: Bacteria; Bacillati; Chloroflexota. The record is from RNAcentral.
UGGGGAAUAUUGCACAAUGGGCGCAAGACUGAUGAAGCCAUGCCGCGUGUAUAAAGAAGGCCUUCGGGUUGUAAAGUACUUUCAGCGGGGAGGAAGGGAGUAAAGUUAAUACAUUUGCUCAUUGACGUUACCCGCAGAAGAAGCACCGGCUAACUCCGUGCCAGCAGCCGCGGUAAUACGGAGGGCGCAAGCGUUAAUCGGAAUUACUGGGCGUAAAGCGCACGCAGGCGGUUUGUUAAGUCAGAUGUGAAAUCCCCGGGCUCAACCUGGGAACUGGGUCUGAUACUGGCAAGCUUGAGUCUCGUAGAGGGUGGUAGAAUUCCAGGUGUAGCGGUGAAAUGCGUACAGAUCUAGAGGAAUACCGGUGGCUAGGGCGGCCCCCUGGCCGAAGACUGACGCUCAGGUGCGAAAGCGUGGUGAGCAAACAGG